UUAAGGCACGUGGGGUGAAACCCUGAAGCAAGGUGAUCAAGUUUUCUCUCUUGUCCAUGGGAAAAAAGUAAGACCAAGAUCACAAAGGAGGACGAGGGUGAAGCCGGUGUCUCGUUGAGCUUUGCGACAGGAGUGUGCUACUAGGAGCCAGUCGUCAAUAUACGGAAAGAUGAGAAUGUUUUGAAGUCUGAGAAGCAGAAUGAACUAUGAGGUUCUCAACACGGCGGUUGAAAGAAACCAAAAGGGGACACUUGGUGCCAAGGUAUACAGGAGGGAGUGGCUUAUUCUAAAGUGUUUGUUGCUACCACAGAAGCUCUAGAAUCUCCCGAUGAAGCUCCGCGCAAGCACUAAUCACCCAGGGUGUGGUUCACAGAGACCACGACGAAGAACUUGCCCUUUGUCUCAUGCAGCAAAAUGUCUCUGGUCAACACCAAAGAG
This is a non-coding RNA of Pogona vitticeps (central bearded dragon), 438 nucleotides long. Lineage: Eukaryota; Metazoa; Chordata; Lepidosauria; Squamata; Agamidae. The record is from RefSeq and is a predicted model, not a curated record.